This is a long non-coding RNA of Mirounga angustirostris (Northern elephant seal), 1259 nucleotides long. RefSeq lists it as uncharacterized. The transcript is spliced from 4 exons. The record is from RefSeq and is a predicted model, not a curated record. NCBI's taxonomy places the organism in Eukaryota, Metazoa, Chordata, Mammalia, Carnivora, Phocidae.
CCCCACUGGCCCGCGGGUCGCGCGAGCUCUCUCGACCGACAGCCCCACCGCCGCCAGCGCAGGAGGGGGCUGGAGGGCUGCAAGCGUCCCGGGCCCGAGGCCGGUUUGUGGCCUCACCUCGGGACGGGUACCCAGGUAGCUGGAGAGUCAAGAAGUCUGUCCCUCCCGCUUCCAGUGGACGACCCUCAGACCCUGUCAGAAAAGUUGUCUCGGUUGCCUGGCCUCAGGUGUCUCCCCAGGUUUGCCUUAGUUACCUGGCGCCCCAGCCUUGACCGGAAAGAGCGCGGAAGGGAGAGACAAGAAACUGAGUCCUAAUGAAACUGGCCCAAUACCCCGCCGGUAGUAAAUGGCAGAGUCGAGAUUUCAACCCAUACCACCAACUAACUACAGGACUGUAUUCUCCUGUGGGCUUGAAUACCCUCCGUGAGAAGUCAGCUAUUGAAGGUGGAAUUGAUUUUUGGAAACAGCCUAACGCAGCCAUGACUCCUUCCCAAACUGAGGGUCCUCUCAUUCUGGGGCUAGGAAAAGAAAAGGACUUACCUCGUUCAUCCAGAAGGAUAUUCUCCAUCUGAAAAAUCACAGGUGGUAAGUUAUUAGUCAUCCUCUUCCUUUCAACCUUCUUUCAUCAUGUAUACCUCCCAGCUGAGGAAGACGCCCUAUUCAUCAUUCAGGCCUAUACUUUGAUGGCCCUUGCCCAAAUCCUUAGCACUCCUGAGGGCCCCAAGGUCAGCUGUUCUCAGCUCCCCACUGCCUUCUUAGACCUGUUGGAACUUCUUACUGAGGCCCCACUUCAGACAAAGAAAAAAGCACUUAACUCUACCUUCACAUCUCGAUGGAUGAUGCCCAAAUCAUGGAGAUAGCCUGUGGAUGACAAGUAUGGGGUGUGCUAAAGCUCUCCUGUCUUUCCAGAUUCCCUGGUAGUUCCCAUCCCAUUCCUAUCCCUGUUCUUUGACCUCCAGAGUUAAUAUCAAAUCUCUUCUCUCUGCCCCUCCCUCUUAAUUCUUCCCUCAUUUCCAUUACCAUUCUUAUUUCACUUACACAGCACCAGAACCAGUUCAGCAGCAAAGAGGCGGAUGGAGGCCUCAGCAAAGCAGCCAACAGAGGACCACAGGGAGUAAAGCUGCCGUAUCUGAGCCACAUGCUGCCGCACAGCCUCCUGCAAAUGUAAUAUGCUGCUGCGCUGUUCCUCAGGAUUGCUAGAAAUCUCAAGCUGGAACCUCACCCGCUGCUUCUUCUCACUGUGCUCCUGAAUGAAUGGA